GAUGAACGCUGGCGGCGUGCCUAAUACAUGCAAGUCGAGCGAACAGAUGAGGAGCUUGCUCCUCUGACGUUAGCGGCGGACGGGUGAGUAACACGUGGAUAACCUACCUAUAAGACUGGGAUAACUUCGGGAAACCGGAGCUAAUACCGGAUAAUAUAUUGAACCGCAUGGUUCAAUAGUGAAAGACGGUUUUGCUGUCACUUAUAGAUGGAUCCGCGCCGCAUUAGCUAGUUGGUAAGGUAACGGCUUACCAAGGCAACGAUGCGUAGCCGACCUGAGAGGGUGAUCGGCCACACUGGAACUGAGACACGGUCCAGACUCCUACGGGAGGCAGCAGUAGGGAAUCUUCCGCAAUGGGCGAAAGCCUGACGGAGCAACGCCGCGUGAGUGAUGAAGGUCUUCGGAUCGUAAAACUCUGUUAUUAGGGAAGAACAGAUGUGUAAGUAACUAUGCACGUAUUGACGGUACCUAAUCAGAAAGCCACGGCUAACUACGUG
Molecule: ribosomal RNA, 497 nt
Filed under: uncultured bacterium
Lineage: Bacteria
Description: partial 16S ribosomal RNA
Rfam family: Bacterial small subunit ribosomal RNA
Source: RNAcentral